GACGCCAUGCCAAGGUGGGUGGGUCUCGAUGACGGUUUCUAUACUCUACAAGGUAGCUGUGUUUGUUAUUUGAUCCUCCACAUAUACGAAGACACUUUCGACAAUUGAGUGUUUUGAAUGUUUUGC
This 126-nucleotide non-coding RNA is filed under the name Pteridomonas danica. The record is from RNAcentral. Lineage: Eukaryota; Dictyochophyceae; Pedinellales.